UACGUAGGGUGCAAGCGUUGUCCGGAAUUAUUGGGCGUAAAGAGCUCGUAGGCGGUUUGUCGCGUCUGCUGUGAAAUCCCGAGGCUCAACCUCGGGUCUGCAGUGGGUACGGGCAGACUAGAGUGCGGUAGGGGUGACUGGAAUUCCUGGUGUAGCGGUGGAAUGCGCAGAUAUCAGGAGGAACACCGAUGGCGAAGGCAGGUCACUGGGCCGCAACUGACGCUGGAGGAGCGGAAAAGCAUGGGGAGC
Molecule: ribosomal RNA, 249 nt
Filed under: uncultured bacterium
Lineage: Bacteria
Description: partial 16S ribosomal RNA
Rfam family: Bacterial small subunit ribosomal RNA
Source: RNAcentral